GAUCCGUGGCUACAGAACGAACGCUGGCGGCGCGCUUAACACAUGCAAGUCGAGCGGACCCGCAAGGGUUAGCGGCGGACGGGUGCGUAACGCGUGGGAAUCUGCCCUUGGGUUCGGAAUAACAGCGAGAAAUUGCUGCUAAUACCGGAUGAUGACGUAAGUCCAAAGAUUUAUCGCCCAAGGAUGAGCCCGCGUAGGAUUAGCUAGUUGGUGAGGUAAAGGCUCACCAAGGCGACGAUCCUUAGCUGGUCUGAGAGGAUGAUCAGCCACACUGGGACUGAGACACGGCCCAGACUCCUACGGGAGGCAGCAGUGGGGAAUUUUGGACAAUGGGGGCAACCCUGAUCCAGCAAUGCCGCGUGAGUGAAGAAGGCCUUCGGGUUGUAAAGCUCUUUUGUCAGGGAAGAAACGGUGAGUUCUAAUAAAGCUUGCUAAUGACGGUACCUGAAGAAUAAGCACCGGCUAACUACGUG
This 473-nucleotide ribosomal RNA is filed under the name uncultured bacterium. RNAcentral describes it as "bacterial SSU rRNA". It matches the Rfam family "Bacterial small subunit ribosomal RNA", at positions 26 to 507 of the family's 1533-position model. The record is from RNAcentral.